UGGAGGGUAGAUGGAGGGGAGCAAGGAGGGAUUGUGUAGGGCGGUGUUUGAGGGAGGCACCAAUCUUGGGGUUGGAGGAAGGCACUAGUGCAAAAUGGCUUUUGUGAUGGAGAGUGGACACUAGAGGGGAGCAGCUUGAGUGCUUUAUCCUGCGAGAGUCGAGAAAGGGAGGCCAUGGGCCAUGGAGAUGCCUGCUAGGGAGGGUUGUGGGGAACUGAUGAGAGAUUAGGAAGUCGGUGACGUAUCUGAGAUUCAGAGGUUAUUGUUGUGUGCAUGGGCAGUGAAUACAAAGGGCCCUUAGCAGGCUGACCUG
RNAcentral lists this long non-coding RNA (313 nucleotides) under Setaria viridis. RNAcentral's name for it is "long non-coding RNA (SVIR_LNC005911)". The record is from RNAcentral. Lineage: Eukaryota; Viridiplantae; Streptophyta; Magnoliopsida; Poales; Poaceae.